RNAcentral lists this ribosomal RNA (270 nucleotides) under Staphylococcus aureus. Its description in RNAcentral is "partial 23S ribosomal RNA". It matches the Rfam family "Bacterial large subunit ribosomal RNA", at positions 1795 to 2064 of the family's 2925-position model. The record is from RNAcentral. Lineage: Bacteria; Bacillati; Bacillota; Bacilli; Caryophanales; Staphylococcaceae.
AGCGACUGUUUAUCAAAAACACAGGUCUCUGCUAAACCGUAAGGUGAUGUAUAGGGGCUGACGCCUGCCCGGUGAUGGAAGGUUAAGAGGAGUGGUUAGCUUAUGCGAAGCUACGAAUCGAAGCCCCAGUAAACGGCGGCCGUAACUAUAACGGUCCUAAGGUAGCGAAAUUCCAUGUCGGGUAAGUUCCGACCCGCACGAAAGGCGUAACGAAUUGGGCACUGUCUCAACGAGAGACUCGGUGAAAUCAUAGUACCUGUGAAGAUGCAG